This is a non-coding RNA of Pantherophis guttatus, 617 nucleotides long. NCBI's taxonomy places the organism in Eukaryota, Metazoa, Chordata, Lepidosauria, Squamata, Colubridae. The record is from RefSeq and is a predicted model, not a curated record.
CCAGGGACACUACGGAAUUCCCGCUUUCUGUGCUGAAUUUGCCCUGCGAUAUAAGCCAAUGCUGAGUAUUGAUGAAAACAGUUCUUUUAAUUACGAGGUCCCGAAAGGUAUUGAUGAAGGUCGCCCUGUCUUCUCCCGAUUCUCCAAUGACGGCCACAUUUAAGCUGAUGUUCUCCAGGGAGGAAAAAGCAUCCUGUAGGCGUUUGGUCAGCUGGUCAAAACUCCCCGUCGUCAAGGCAGCCUUGAGGUCCUGGAUCUGUUUUUCGGUUAGAGCAAUUUUGUCAUUCUCCACUUUCUGUGCCAUGGGGGUCAACGCUGAACUUUGCUGGACAACCCAGCGAGGAAGAUCUGAAGAACCAAGCAAAGAACAUCGUGUUAGUAGACGUUGCGUGAUAAAACAGAGUCCUGUGUGUAGGUUUUCACCAUUCAGGGGUUGACAAAAUGUGAUCUUGCAGCUGGAAUCCCUCGUCCUUCAAUCCUGCCACAGAGCAAAGGUUGAUAAGCUGCCAUUGCUAAAACCUGGUCGUAAUUUUAAACAAUCAUGUGACGUUUUGGUAAUAUCACCUAAAAAUCUUGUAAGACUUUGAGUUUUCCUUUAAAAUUCAAUGACCUGUUGA